RNAcentral lists this ribosomal RNA (253 nucleotides) under uncultured prokaryote. Its description in RNAcentral is "partial 16S ribosomal RNA". It matches the Rfam family "Bacterial small subunit ribosomal RNA", at positions 524 to 776 of the family's 1533-position model. The record is from RNAcentral.
UACAGAGGUCCCGAGCGUUGUUCGGAUUCACUGGGCGUAAAGGGUGCGUAGGCGGCUGAGUAAGUCUGAUGUGAAAUCUCCGAGCCUAACUCGGAAACUGCAUCGGAUACUAUUCAGCUAGAGGAUUGGAAGGGAGACUGGAAUUCUCGGUGUAGCAGUGAAAUGCGUAGAUAUCGAGAGGAACACCAGUGGCGAAGGCGAGUCUCUGGACAAUUCCUGACGCUGAGGCACGAAAGCCAGGGGAGCAAACGGG